AUGGACGCAAAUGCAGAGCCAACUAAGCUAUCAUUUCCAUUCAUAAGAUAUAUCACACAAAAAUUCCGUCAAGUGAUCGGUCGUGGUGGGUUCGGAGUGGUUUACCUGGGAGAUAUCGGAACUGGGAAGGUUGCUGUGAAGAAACUCUCAAUAAUGCAGAACUUUUCUGAGGCGACCUUUCUGGAUGAGAUUAAUUGUUUAAUAAAGGCAAAGCACACCAAUAUAGUGAGAUUUCUUGGUUAUUGUGCGGAUACAUAUGGGGAGUGUGUGCAAUACGAAGGAAGUCUUGUGCUAUCAGAGGUACCACAACGGUUGCUAUGCUUUGAGUAUGUUCCUAAUGGAAACCUUCAGAAGUAUCUCGAAGAUAAGUCUCAUAAAGAUGAAUGGAAAAUACGAUACCAAAUGAUUAGGGGAAUUUGCAAUGGUCUGAACUAUCUUCACGACCAACGUAUUACUCAUUUGGAUUUAAAACCCGACAAUAUUCUUUUGGAUGCUCGCAUGGAUCCCAAAAUUACAGACUUUGGGAUAUCAAGAUGCUUUGAUGAAGGAAUAACUAGAAUUUACACUAAAAAUGUUCGUGGAACACGGGGAAUUAUUGCACCAGAGACCAUAGUCCAUGGAGAAAUAACAUUUAAAUCAGACAUAUAUGGCUUGGGCAAUAUAAUCAUUCAUCUAUUAACAGGGUGUAACAAAUAUGAUUUCGAUAAUGUAAGAAUAAUUUACUUUUCCAUUUCAGUUGGUGUUUUAUAA
This 750-nucleotide ribosomal RNA is filed under the name Triticum aestivum (bread wheat). RNAcentral's name for it is "partial small subunit ribosomal RNA". The record is from RNAcentral. Lineage: Eukaryota; Viridiplantae; Streptophyta; Magnoliopsida; Poales; Poaceae.